Molecule: non-coding RNA, 46 nt
Organism: Schistosoma curassoni
Lineage: Eukaryota; Metazoa; Platyhelminthes; Trematoda; Strigeidida; Schistosomatidae
Source: Rfam
AUCCAGCUGACGAGUCCCAAAUAGGACGAAACGCGUGCCCUGGUAU